GGGUAGCCCUACCAACAGGCACAGUGAUAGGAGAUCCGGUGUUCAACACCCUCUGACCACGCACAAGCCCCUCAGUCCCAUCCAUAGCAAUCGUCCUCACCGUGCUCUCCCCCAAAUGCUGCGCCACCUCCAACACAAGCCGGAUCGAGUUAUCCAGCACCUCCAGCGCAGUCAAGAUCGGCGGCAGACCGUCAUUGAACCGGACAUCCACCACGGCCCCGAUCACCUGGCAGACCUGCCCGAUCGAUCCAGCUCCGGUGAAUUCGUCCGUGAUCUUGCCGCUGGGGCCAUCGGAGACCUUCGCCGGCGGCGCCGGCGCAGCCGCCGCUGCUGCGGUGGCGUAUUCGGCGGCGCGGGAGAGGAGGAGGCCGACGGGAGAGGGGCGGGAGAUCGGGGCGCGGGGGGAGACGAGGGCAGAGGGGGCCGUCGGACGGCGGCGGGCGGAGGAGCGAAGGAGGGAGGAGAGGACGCGGCGAGUAGCCAUGAGAAGAUAUGGAGCGACGGCGAUGGAGAUCUAGGGUUUGGGAGCUGGGGUUUGAUGAGAUCAGUGGGAGAGAGUGAAGGAUCGGAGCAUCGCCGUUGCGAUAGGU
RNAcentral lists this unclassified non-coding RNA (590 nucleotides) under Hevea brasiliensis (rubber tree). Lineage: Eukaryota; Viridiplantae; Streptophyta; Magnoliopsida; Malpighiales; Euphorbiaceae. The record is from RNAcentral.